Biomphalaria glabrata is the source of this 429-nucleotide long non-coding RNA. RefSeq lists it as uncharacterized. The record is from RefSeq and is a predicted model, not a curated record. The transcript is spliced from 3 exons. NCBI's taxonomy places the organism in Eukaryota, Metazoa, Mollusca, Gastropoda, Planorbidae.
UCUGUUUAAUAGUUGUUGUUAUGUAAUCGUUCGUUACACAUAUGUAGAUUGAAUUCUUAACCGGACAGAGACUUUUUUUUCUUCAGUUACUUAACAUUGUCAGGAUGUACGGGACAUUCUUUUGGACACUGGCGGCGCUUUUUGCCUUUUCACAGGCACUGGUUUGAAAGGUCUGCCGAGUGGAGUCAGAGUGUGACCCGGGCGAGUGCUGUCAGAUUCUGAGUGAGUUUAUGGUGAUGAGUAAGAGGCAGGAGGUCUUGCUGAAUACCAUAGCACCACUUACCAAGACAGGUACUUGCCAGAAGUACAAGGUAGAGGGGGACCCCUGUGGACACUUUGAAAAGAUCAAUGGCUAUUGCAGCUGCGCCCCUGGCACCUACUGUCACUCUUAUGAGAUUCCUGUACCUACAAUGGCGGCAAGGUCGAUGA